Molecule: ribosomal RNA, 350 nt
Filed under: Fidelibacterota bacterium
Lineage: Bacteria; Pseudomonadati; Fidelibacterota
Description: bacterial SSU rRNA
Rfam family: Bacterial small subunit ribosomal RNA
Source: RNAcentral
ACAAUGGAGAGUUUGAUCCUGGCUCAGGACGAACGCUGGCGGCGUGCUUAACACAUGCAAGUCAAGGAGAACGAAUCCUUCGGGAUACUAUUAAACUGGCGAACGGGUGAGUAACACGUAGGCAACCUACCUCAGAGAUUGGGAUAACUUCGGGAAACCGGAGCUAAUACCGAAUAAUGCAGCGGAUCCUUCGGGAUAUGUUGUUAAAGUGGGCUUCGGCUCACACUUUGAGAUGGGCCUGCGUCCGAUUAGCUUGUUGGUGAGGUAAUGGCUUACCAAGGCGAUGAUCGGUAGCUGGUCUGAGAGGAUGAUCAGCCACACUGGGAUUGAGAUACGGCCCAGACUCCUAC